CAUGUCUGUCUGGCAGGUUUCAUCUGACCUUGAUCUCAUUUUCCUGGUUCAUUGAUCAAUGUUAAGUUUUUGUGUUUUGGUCUGUUUUUCAAGUAAUAUAAGCAAUAGGUAAACUAUAUUUGGUGUAUGGAAUGAAGGUCUAGAAGGUACAUGUAUCAUCUGACCUUGACCUCAUUUUCAUGGUUCAUCAGUCAAUGUUAGGUUUUUGUGUUUUGGUUGGUUUACCAAAUAAGAAUAUCAAUAAACUAUGUUUGCUGUAUUGGACAAAUGUAAGGUGUACAUGUCAUUCUGACAAGUAUUAUCAUUUUAGUGUGUGCACUCUUGUGUUAUAAAUUACGGUAGGCUGAUAUAGUUAGUAUUUGUAUUUUGAAUUGUUUCACUUUUUAUGUCUUUUAUUGCCAACUAUAAAGUAUGGGUUUUUCUGGUGUACAGCUGCCUAUAAUUUGUUGAAUAGUUGUCUCAUUGACUACAUUUCUAUAUUAUUUUUAUUUGUGGUAGUCUUAAUGCCAUGCUGUGGUCUGUUUUCUUCCACUGACUGGUUUUGAUUGCUCCUUUCAUAUUUUUCCUUUUACCAGUCAAGUUUGCAGAAAUAUUGCAUAACUGAUUCUCUAAUUGGUUUAUUUAGGUUUAUGAAUUUCUCAUGUCAAGGUUGUUAGCUAUGGGAUUUGUGUUGCUCAGUAAUCAGUUUUCUAUGUAGUGUUGUGUGUUUUUUUUUUUGUUACCAUUUUAUGUCAUGGUGUUGUUGGUAUUUUUUUCUAAUAAUGAUUUUUAAUUGUGAUUUCCAUUGGUAUAGUCGGCCUCUUGAUUCAACAAAAGAAACAAAAAUACAGCACCAUUAAAAUUUUAAUAAUUUAUACUUAUGUACACCUUUAUGAAGACACACCUUUAACAAUCAAAACAUACAAUGUUUUGUAUUAUUUAUUUAAUCUGGUGAAAUUGAAUUAAAAAAAAAGAAAGAUUAUGGUGUAUUUAUUCAUGCUCAAAAUCACUACAUGCACAUGAAAAAAAAAUCUUUUUAUACUGUAAAAUAAAAAUUUCAACAGAUACAUAGUCAAAACAUGGAUGACCUGACUUCAUCAUGAACUGUCAUUUAAUAUUUUAUGUCUAAUUGCAAAACAAUUUAAGUUCAAGUCAAAAACACCACAUCUGGUUUAAUGCCAAAUAGAAUAUUACAAAAACAAAUUGCUUCAUGCAGUUAUACCUAUAUUUUUAAACUUUUAAAAUGUUCUGUGAAAAAGUAUGACAUUUGAAGCUUAGAAAGGCAGCUUUCUUGUUUUGUUAUUUUGGUUAAAUUAUUAGUGACACCGGAAGUGAAGCGACUUCUUGAACAGAAGAAAAAAAUUUUCAAAUGACUUUUAAAUAGAUUUUAUUUUUAAAAAGCAUGUAGUUGAAACUUUAUGGCAAUAUAUGAUAAUUUCCACUUAUUUGUAAUUUCUUGUUGGUAGUUCUUGUAUGGUUAAAAAUACACUUCUUCAAUGCCAAUACCAAGGGACAAGCUAGAAUAGUUAUAGUCAUGAUUUUAAAGUUAAAUAAAACAAUAUUUCUGUUUUACUGUAUGAAUAAUAGAAUUGCCAAUAUGUUUAUUUGUUUCAUAUUUACCAGGUUUGUUUCAAUCAAACAUUUAUAACCUAUUUCGUCUAAAUACCACUAAUUUCAUUUAUAGUGCAUUUCAUGUUUAAUUUUGUUUUUCAUUAAGCACUGAAUCAUUCUCAAAAUUGCACUACCACUCAUUUACUCAAUCCGCAUACAACCUCACUUUAGUACAAAUACAUAUAUAACAUUGAAACUAGGUCCUUUGAGGGGAAGGGAUGUUCUUUGAUAUACAGAGACAAACUUUUCCACAGAGACAUAUAAGGUACUGUGAAUUUUUCAGAUAUAAAUAAAUAGUACAUGUAUUUCCUGGAAGGUACACAUAUCUUUUCCUUCAUAUUAUAAGGUAUUGCAAGGUAUAUGUAUGUGAAGAAAAACUAGAUAGCCAUUUUCAAACUUGUACUUCAAUCUUUUGCUCAGACCUCUCACUAACUACAACCUUUAAUAAUAAUUUAUAUAUUAAUCAAAAGGAUAUUGAUAAAUGUAUCAGCAACAACCUCCUUUUUUGUAAAUAUUAAAUUGAAUUUAUAUAACUUAAACCAAAACUUUAUAAUUCCUCAAAAAACAAACCCUAAAAAAAUU
This 2172-nucleotide long non-coding RNA is filed under the name Mytilus galloprovincialis (Mediterranean mussel). The record is from RNAcentral. Lineage: Eukaryota; Metazoa; Mollusca; Bivalvia; Mytilida; Mytilidae.